CUCUGAGAAAGAGGGGAGUGAUGACAGUUGGCAUACUUCUGAGGAAGAAGAACUCGAUUUUACCCCCAAGAAGCUACAGAAGCCCAACUUGACGCUACUAAUGAAUGCUUCCCAGCAGUUCAGGAAAAACAAUGAUAGUGAUGGUUCUAGAAUUGAAAAUCCUAAGUCACCGAGGAAAACCCUCAAACAAAGAACCCCAUCAGAUGCAAACCUGAAAAAAGGAGAAUGUAGAGAAUUGUUGAAUCAAGAUGUCUCAGAUGCAAGCAACCUGGAAGAAGAAGAAUUGGAGGAGGAGGAGGAGGAAGAUGAUGAAAAUGACAAUGGAGAUGAUGAUGAAGAUUAUGAGGAGGAAGAAGAAGAAGAAGAGGAGGACGAAGAUCUUUCUCAAGAUGAAAAAGAGGAGGAAGAUCUGGAAGAUGAAGAAACUCAAUCUAAUGACAUACUGGAGGAGGAGCAAGGGGGGAAAACAGAACCUAAAGGGGAAAUUGAUCAGAAAUUGGAGUAUUUUAGUAAUGCUAAGUAUGAAGGGGAAGCUCAGUGUGGAACUGGAGUUGUCUGGGAUGAUGAUGAUAAGAUUAGUAAAGAACUUAAUGAAAAGGUGGAGGAAUCUGUUGAUACUCCUGUGUCUUUUAUAGCUGGGUGUUAUGAAAGGUUGCAAGAAAAUAUAACUGCCAUGUCUCCAAAGAGAAUGAAUAAUGAAGUAUCUUACAAGUCAGUACCAAAACAAGCUGUCUUUCAGAAUCUAAAUAAUUUGCAAGACACACAAGAAAGCUGGAACAGGAAAAGCUUGAUUCAAGAGAAGUUGACCACAGAUAGUUGUGGUCUUAAGGAGAAAAAGUCAAGCUCUGGUGAUGGUUUUGAAAGUGGUAAUAAUUCUUUAUCAGCAGCAAAAACCCCAAGACUUGAAAAUCAAAGACCGAGCUUUGCCAGUCUUGAAUGUGUGGAUGAUGAAGAUACUGAAGAAGAGCAAGAUGAAGUAGAUGAUAAAGUCUGUGAAGCACUGAAACAGGAAAGUGUAAACUUGUGCUUAAAUAAGCGUGAAGAAAAUUUAAGAGCAGCGUUUCACUCAAGCACCAAAGUAAGUAUAUAGGGAUGAUUCAAUCACAAGGGUAUUUUUCUAAGGGCAAUAUAGGUAAGAAAUAGAUGGUAAACUGGAUUUCUGUUAAUACU
This 1170-nucleotide long non-coding RNA is filed under the name Calidris pygmaea (Spoon-billed sandpiper). RNAcentral's name for it is "lncRNA (ENSCPGG00000009107.1)". The record is from RNAcentral. Lineage: Eukaryota; Metazoa; Chordata; Aves; Charadriiformes; Scolopacidae.